This is a long non-coding RNA of Drosophila serrata, 903 nucleotides long. RefSeq lists it as uncharacterized. Lineage: Eukaryota; Metazoa; Arthropoda; Insecta; Diptera; Drosophilidae. The record is from RefSeq and is a predicted model, not a curated record.
AAUAUUUCAACAGAGUUCAUUCCAUUGAAAAUUUCAACUUUAGUGAGUCUGAAUUUCUAAUAUCCAAAAAAGAAGUAAAAUCAUUCUAAAACUGGACAGUUCGAAUAUAGUGUUUCUAAAUAUAUAUAUCUAAAAUCCAAUCAUGGAACCGCAAUGCUGCAAAUGUUUGGAUCUACCUAUUGCCGAUCAAAUUGGAAAUCGAACAUUGGACUUAUCCCAUUCUCUGGGUGAAUUUAUAUCCUUCCUGGUGGUACUCCCUUUGGCUUUCUAUGCUGUCGUCUGGCACAAUAGUCACCUGAAGGCCUUCUUCAUUGUCCUGGCCUGUUUGCUGCUAUGCGAAUUCAUUAUAUUCUUUGAGCCCAUGGAAAUGAAGGAUAGAUUUGCCGAAACUGCAAAGCUGGCAUUUGCUGGACUGAUCAAAGUUAUUGGUCACCUUGAGCGGUUCAAGGACAAAAUCAUUGAAAUGCAUAACAAUCAUUUGAAUACUAUUUAAGGGGUACCAAUUUCCAAUCAAGUAACACUAGUCUUAUAUUAAGUCUUGCUAUAAAUCCCUUCUAAAGGAUACCAAAUUUACACUCUCCUAAUGAUAUAUAACUCAAAGGAUACUACUCAAAUUUCUAAGCAAGCUUUAAUAUAAAAUAAUUAUUAAAUCCCAUUUAAAGGGUACCAAAUUGUCUUUCUAAGAAAAAUUAACAUCACCCAAAGGAAACUCCAGCUUUUUAAAACCCAUUUCGAAGCAAGUUCAUAUACAAAAUUAUUAUAAAUCCCAUUCAAAGUGUUUAAAAUUUCAACUCUUCAUACGAUAUAUAUACCCCAAAGGAUACUCCCCAAAUCUUAAAUCAAGCUUAUGGGCAAAGCAAACCAGAUUUCACAGAUUCAUCCUGCCGCAAACUCACCUGGAAA